RNAcentral lists this unclassified non-coding RNA (219 nucleotides) under uncultured Sphingobacteriales bacterium. Its description in RNAcentral is "contains 16S-23S intergenic spacer region". Lineage: Bacteria; Pseudomonadati; Bacteroidota; Sphingobacteriia; Sphingobacteriales. The record is from RNAcentral.
UCACAGCUUACGCUGGCAGUUUCUUUAGAGUUCCACCAAUUAAGGUAUGGCAACUAAAGAUAGGGGUUGCGCUCGUUAUGGGACUUAACCCGACACCUCACGGCACGAGCUGACGACAGCCAUGCAGCACCUAGACAAAUGUUCUUGCGAAAAGCCUCUUUUCAGAGACGGUCAUUUGUCUUUCAAGCCCAGGUAAGGUUCCUCGCGUACCAUCGAAUU